AACUAGGAGGAAAGCCGACGUCCUCCUCUUUCCUCAGAAGUGAUCUGUGGCCGGCCGGACUUCAUUCCACAGAUGUGCUUUAACAAAGUGUGAAGCUGAACUCUGAGCUGUGACAGUGUGAGCAGUGUGAGAGUGUCAGUAGAUGAUCAGCAGGAAAGUGAGAGCUGCUGUGAGCUGAUGUCCUGAAGGGCUUUUAAAGAGUCUCUGAGUUUGACAGGAACAUGAAGAUGUUUGUGGUGUUUGUGAUCCUCCUGCACGUUUCCCAGCAUGCCUCAGCUGUGGAGUCGUAUGAGGGGGAGUCAUUCGUCCUGCCCUGUCAGUUUCCCACUUUUAGAUUUCGAGACCCCUCAGUGUUGUGGAGUCGCUCCGACCUCAGUCCUCCAACCGUCCACCAGCGUCAGCGUCAAGGAGACGAACUGAAGAUCAAAACCAGCGUUACAGCGGCCGAACAUCCAUGAAGACUGACGCUCUGGAUACUGGAGACCUCAGCCUGAACCUGACCAACCUCCAACUGUCUGACAGCGCCACCUACACCUGCUCCAUCAGAGACUUUGGAGAUGAACUGAGUCGGAGUGAUGUACAGCUGCAGGUCAAAGAACGGUUUCCAUCCUGGGCCAAAGCUCUCCUGGUUCUCCUGGUUCUUCUUGUGGUUUCUGGGG
This is a long non-coding RNA of Oreochromis niloticus (Nile tilapia), 659 nucleotides long. RefSeq lists it as uncharacterized. The record is from RefSeq and is a predicted model, not a curated record. NCBI's taxonomy places the organism in Eukaryota, Metazoa, Chordata, Actinopteri, Cichliformes, Cichlidae. The transcript has 3 exons.